AAGUCGUAACAAGGUUUCCGUAGGUGAACCUGCGGAAGGAUCAUUAACACGUAUCCACGUAUCAACCAAUGAGAACCUGUUUUCCCGUCUCCCUGUGCAAAGAAUGAAUUGGAACCAGUUUGAGGGAGUGAUGGGACCGAAAGGUCGGCCUUCCUGGUAUACUUAUGUAGACAGAAAUGUUUGCAUAGACAAUUGAAUUUUUGUUACAGGCUAUUUCUUAUCGCUUUGAUGCCCAUCAUCAUCGUGGCGGUAGGGAAACUUUCACUAAAUUUACCUUUUUUGCUAGUUGACUUUUUAUAUGUGUUGUCUUGCGAAAGCAUGGUGGCACACGUUUAUUAAUUGAACGUUAAAAAAUACAACUCUUAGCAAUGGAUAUCUUGGUUCUC
Molecule: unclassified non-coding RNA, 386 nt
Filed under: fungal sp.
Lineage: Eukaryota; Fungi
Description: partial internal transcribed spacer region
Rfam family: Eukaryotic small subunit ribosomal RNA (bases 1-46)
Source: RNAcentral